RNAcentral lists this transfer RNA (62 nucleotides) under Pseudosymplanella nigrifasciata. RNAcentral's name for it is "tRNA-Gly". The record is from RNAcentral. Lineage: Eukaryota; Metazoa; Arthropoda; Insecta; Hemiptera; Caliscelidae.
AUUCUUUUAGUAUAAUAAGUAUAAUUGACUUCCAAUCAAAAGGUUAAUUAAUUAAAAGAAUA